This 301-nucleotide ribosomal RNA is filed under the name uncultured bacterium. Its description in RNAcentral is "partial 16S ribosomal RNA". It matches the Rfam family "Bacterial small subunit ribosomal RNA", at positions 509 to 809 of the family's 1533-position model. The record is from RNAcentral.
CAGUAGCCGCGGGAAUACGUAGGUGGCAAGCGUUGUCCGGAAUUAUUGGGCGUAAAGGGCUCGCAGGCGGUUUCUUAAGUCUGAUGUGAAAGCCCCCGACUCAACCGGGGAGGGUCAUUGGAAACUGGGAAACUUGAGUGCAGAAGAGGAGAGUGGAAUUCCACGUGUAGCGGUGAAAUGCGUAGAGAUGUGGAGGAACACCAGUGGCGAAGGCGACUCUCUGGUCUGUAACUGACGCUGAGGAGCGAAAGCGUGGGGAGCGAACAGGAUUAGAUACCCGGGUAGUCCCUGUCUCUUAUAU